RNAcentral lists this transfer RNA (138 nucleotides) under Candidatus Woesearchaeota archaeon. RNAcentral's name for it is "tRNA-Leu". It matches the Rfam family "tRNA". Rfam says of the family: Transfer RNA (tRNA) molecules are approximately 80 nucleotides in length. The record is from RNAcentral. Lineage: Archaea; Nanobdellati; Candidatus Woesearchaeota.
GCGGGGAUGCCGGAGUGGCCAAACGGGGCAGACUCAAGGCAUUUGAGUGUUGAGUGCUCAUCUGAGUGCGAUGAAAAAACCAUUUGUAAGUCAUCUGCUGGCUUAGUGCCUACGAGGGUUCGAAUCCCUUUCCCCGCA